Long non-coding RNA from Manacus vitellinus (golden-collared manakin), 1595 nucleotides. RefSeq lists it as uncharacterized. NCBI's taxonomy places the organism in Eukaryota, Metazoa, Chordata, Aves, Passeriformes, Pipridae. The record is from RefSeq and is a predicted model, not a curated record. The transcript is spliced from 5 exons.
AUGUCAGUCACAUUUAAAACCAACGUUGCUUCAUUUAAGAGUGAAAGGAUGCAUGUCAGGAGUCUGAAGGAUACAAGCAGAGAAAAUUUAGAAUGAAUAGAGGUCUCACAUGAACUAUACUUUCAUCUCUACAGAAGCAGAGAAAAACAGUUCUAUUCCAAAAAAUAUAGAAAUAUACUUGGGAUUUUUAAACAUAUUAGUGUGAGAGUGAGAAGAGCCCAGUGAAAGUGGGACAAUAUGCCAGAGGAUUUCUAAUAGAAAUAGAUUAGAAAGUCUUCGACUGGCUGUAAGUUCAUAUGUUAUCAUUCCCAGUAAAACUCUGAAUUUCGAAAUCUUUUAUGUCAAUUAACUUCUAAACUCCUGUAGUAAAAGUGUUAACCUUAUUAUAUAGGUUUAAAAACACAGUACAUAACUGGGGGGUUCUCUCAAGAUUUUACAGUAAAUCUAAGGAGCAUGCUCAGAAUGGAGGGAAUGCUGAAUGCUGCACUCAUGGUAUAAUUAUUUCACUGACUCUGUUUUGUUGGGGAUUUUUUUAAUUCAUUUUUAUCGUGCAAUAAUCCAAAUAGUACUAAACCAGAAACCUUGUGCUGUUUUUCUUGAGUGUAAUCCAAGAACUUGGUCACAGAAAAGUCUGUACUACUUUACACUGUAUUUUUUUCCUGAGAAAAAGAAAACCCUCACAAAAGCUAUUCUCUAUCUUCUCUUUACAGACUGGCAAGAGUGAACAGUUACCUGACAAAAACAAGAAGGACCCUCAGUUCAUGGACUGACCAGUUAAAAGAAAAAAUACAAAAGAUGAAAAUAAACCAUGAGUUCUCAUGACAGAAGGAUUAUUCCACAAGGAUUCAUAUCUAACACAGAACUGUUCGCAGUUCAUAAGUGAAAAGGCAUGAAUGACGAUGUGACAACAUUUGAGGAACGUAUCUAAUAAUUCGGAUCUAAAGCUGAUUGAAAAAUACUGCAAGAGGCUUCCACAACACUGUGAUAAAGUGUCCAGGAUAAAGUGUCCUUGAUUCCCGGCAGCCUCUGAUGGACUUCCUGCAUAUGAAAGAUCUUCUACAUAAACAUCCACAAAUGAGAAUCAUAUGCAAUUUCUGCCAGCCUGAUCCCAAAUGGGCCCCUCCAUGCCAGGGAAACUGGUGAGCAACCUCCAGUGAAGUGUCCAAGGAGAUGAGCCAUGGAGCACCUACACAGCGGGUGUGGGUGCAGUAACCUGCUGCUGGAUGGUGACAAGCAAUGAGACACUGUAUCUUCAUCAGUUCCAGCUAUGUCAGGAAGGAAACAUCAAUCUGCUGCCCUGCUGAUGGCUAAACCAGUAUAAACAGAUCUAACCAUGCUAAACCCUUGACUGCACACAACCAUGUGUACUAUACUUGCUAUAUUGAUUUGAAAAUCGAUAAUGCUAAGUGGGUAACCCCCCUGUGUAAACAUAUUUAUAGCACUCUAAAGGAUUUUUUUCCCACCAAAAUGAUAUUCCUAUAAAUUUAUCUCUAAUACCAUUUUAUCUAAUACCAAUUUUAUCGUAAUCUACAGCAUGAAGUAGUGUUGCAUCCUGAGCCAAUAUAUAAGCAUUAAAGAUGACUACUUUAUCUCUA